Molecule: ribosomal RNA, 456 nt
Filed under: uncultured bacterium
Lineage: Bacteria
Description: bacterial SSU rRNA
Rfam family: Bacterial small subunit ribosomal RNA
Source: RNAcentral
AGGCAGCAGUGGGGGAAUAUUGCACAAUGGGCGCAAGCCUGAUGCAGCCAUGCCGCGUGUGUGAAGAAGGGUUUCGGCUCGUAAAGCUCUGUUGUUAAAGAAGAACACGUAUGGGAGUAACUGUUCAUACGUUGACGGUAUUUAACCAGAAAGUCACGGCUAACUACGUGCCAGCAGCCGCGGUAAUACGUAGGUGGCAAGCGUUAUCCGGAUUUAUUGGGCGUAAAGAGAGUGCAGGCGGUUUUCUAAGUCUGAUGUGAAAGCCUUCGGCUUAACCGGAGAAGUGCAUCGGAAACUGGAUAACUUGAGUGCAGAAGAGGGUAGUGGAACUCCAUGUGUAGCGGUGGAAUGCGUAGAUAUAUGGAAGAACACCAGUGGCGAAGGCGGCUACCUGGUCUGCAACUGACGCUGAGACUCGAAAGCAUGGGUAGCGAACAGGAUUAGAUACCCUGGUAG